AGCGUACCGUUCAGCCCCUUUUACCAUGAGUCGACUCAUGGGGUUGACUCAAAUAUAUAAACAUGAUUUUCUUUCAAAAUACAUAUUCAAAAAUAUUAAAAUUAUUUUCAAUAGAUUACAAAUCUUGUGUUCUUGCUCUUGAGGCUUCCAAAUCAGAACUUGGUAAAAUUAUGAUUUUACCCCUGAAAUACAAUAAAUCUUUUCCAAGCCAAAAUCAUUAGUAACCCUCUCAAAUGCUUUGGAAUCAUCAAAAUCAAUUCAAGGAGCAAUACCUCUCUUCUCUCUCUCCAUUCAGCCUAAACUAGUAUUUUCUCUCUCUAGAAUUGAACUUUCUCUCUCUACUUUCUCUCUCUAAAAUUCUCUCUCUAGAUUAUUUCUCUCUCCUAAUAUUUUUAAAAUUUUAAGAAUAAUGAUGAUGAAUUGAAAUUAAUCCUUGAGAUAAAUUUUUGAUCUGUAAUCAUCGGACGGUACACUGACAUCCAUUUUGAUCAGACCUAAUAUUUUUUAAGAUUCUAUUUCUUAUGAUUUUUUUGAAUUAUCCACAUAAUAAUUUCAGCAUGAUUUGAUCUGAUCGAUCGAAUUUAUUGAAUCAUAUCAUCUGAGGAAUCCAAGAUGAAUUUCUCUCCCUAAAAUUUUCUCUCUCUAAAACUUUUUCUCUCUCUGAUUGAUUUCAUUUUCUAAAAAGAUUAGUCAAUGAAGGAAUUUCUUUUAAUAUUUUUGAUCUGAUGAAGAAUCUUGAUCCAUGAUUAUCGAGCAGUGUAUUGGUACUCACCUUGAUCAGACCCAAUAUUUCUCAAUUUGAUUAUCCAUGAUCCUGAUUUAACCAUGACUUGGAUUAGAUCAUUUUGAUCACACUAAUCGAGAUGUUCGACUCUGACAACUGAUUAAUUUGGAUUGUAUCUCAUGAAUUCUCUCUCCUCUGAUUUUCUCUCUUCAUUUGAUUUAUGAACCCAAUGAAGGAACAUCGAUCUUAUCACUUCGAAUUCGAUUUGAUCUGAUAGUCAAAUUUUAGAUCAUUUAUGUCCUAAUUAGAUUUUGAUCAAAUAAAAUUAGAUGAUCGGAUCAAUCUGGACGAUAAGAUAUGGGUGUCCAUCAAUUUUAUUUUUUUAAUUAUUUUGAUCUUUUCUAAUUAUUGAAAUUAAUCCUGU
RNAcentral lists this long non-coding RNA (1148 nucleotides) under Elaeis guineensis (African oil palm). RNAcentral's name for it is "long non-coding RNA (EGUI_LNC079907)". Lineage: Eukaryota; Viridiplantae; Streptophyta; Magnoliopsida; Arecales; Arecaceae. The record is from RNAcentral.